Raphanus sativus (radish) is the source of this 1262-nucleotide long non-coding RNA. RefSeq lists it as uncharacterized. The record is from RefSeq and is a predicted model, not a curated record. NCBI's taxonomy places the organism in Eukaryota, Viridiplantae, Streptophyta, Magnoliopsida, Brassicales, Brassicaceae. The transcript is spliced from 2 exons.
UAAGGCCCAUUUGUUUUAUUUUAAUCAAAACCCAUUCCUUUUUAUUUUUGUCCCACAUUGGAAGUUUGAGCUUCAUACCUCACUUCCCUUCUCCUAUAUAAUAGACUCCUCUUCUUCUCUUUAUUCUCAUCAAGUCAAAGUAUUUCUUUGCGCGUGACAAGUUGUUGUUAAAUUAUUCAACGACCAGUCACUAGUUAAUUUUUCCGGUGAGAUUUCCGGCGAGCUUCCGGCGGGAUUUUUGGACGAGCUUCCGGCAGCAUUUCUGGGCGAGCUUCCGGUGGGUUUUUCUAUUGACCUCAGUUGAUCAUUUCCGUUGUUCGUUCCAGUCAGUUGCUAAGGUGAGGGCUAUUCCGUUAAAUCCUGAGCUAGUUUAGUACUAUUAUUAUUGAAAGUCUAGUUUCGAAACAUGAUCCGUCUUUGUGAAUCGAGUAUGUUUGAAAGUCUUGGUUGCUUAUUAUUAUUUUGAUUGUUAAACUGGAAAUAGGAUAAUAGAGGAUUCAACGAUUGUGUGAAAUGAUUGAUGUUAAAGACUGUUAUAUAUAUGUAUAUAUCUAGUUAUAUAGUAAGGACUAUGUGGUGAGUGCGGGGGCCCAGAGUGAUUUGGGCUAGCGACGCAUAUGAGUACGGGGGCCCAGAGAAAUCUGAGCUAGCGACGUAUAGAGUGCGGGGGCACAGAGACAUCUGAGCUAGCGACGCAUAGUGGAUGAGUACGGGGGCCCAGAGACGUCUGAGCUAGCGACGUAUAUUGUGUGGUGCGGGGUGCAGAGACGUUUGCAUAUCGACGCAUAUUGGUGGAGUGCGGGGGUCCAGAGAUGUCUGGACUAUCGACGCAUAUUAUGAUAUCGUAUAUCCGUAUGAGGAGAACGCAGGGUGUGUGGACUAGCUAUGUACCAUCAGCGUAUUGUUUGUUUUGUGUGAUGUGCUAGGCAUCUUGUCUGUUCAUGCUAGAGCUACUCUUACAUAGUCGUAGUGCUAUGUACUGAGUCUGUGGUUUGCGGGUUAGCAUCCCAUACCUCACUGAGUGACUCCCCUGUUGCUCAUCCCUCUUUCUUUUCUCUUUCAGGUGAGCCUGGCAGACAGGAGUGAUUGCUUUCGGAUUGGUGCUUUUGGGCGUUUUCUUUAUUUCUAUUCCAGAUUUUCGGUUUUGUGCUUUACCGAGAUUUUUAGAUUUAUUAUACUAUUUGAAUUUAAUGCUAUUUAUUGGAUUUAUGGAGAUUUGAGAUUAUUUAUGUGGAGUAAUAAAUGGAGAUUUCAGGAUUAUU